RNAcentral lists this ribosomal RNA (356 nucleotides) under uncultured bacterium. RNAcentral describes it as "bacterial SSU rRNA". It matches the Rfam family "Bacterial small subunit ribosomal RNA", at positions 338 to 686 of the family's 1533-position model. The record is from RNAcentral.
CCUACGGGAGGCAGCAGUGGGGAAUUAUGGACAAUGGGCGAAAGCCUGAUCCAGCCAUGCCGCGUGCGGGAAGAAGGCCUUCGGGUUGUAAAGCGCUUUUGUCAGGGAAGAAAUACUCUGGGCUAAUACCCUGGGGUGAUGACGGUACCUGAAGAAUAAGCACCGGCUAACUACGUGCCACCAGCCGCGGUAAUACGUAGGGUGCGAGCGUUAAUCGGAAUUACUGGGCGUAAUGCGUGCGCAGGCGGUUGUGUAAGACAGAUGUGAAAUCCCCGGGCUCAACCUGGGAACAGCAUUUGUGACUGCACGGCUUGAGUGCGGCAGAGGGGGAUGGAAUUCCGCGUGAAGCAGUGAAA